UGGGGAAUAUUGCACAAUGGGGGAAACCCUGAUGCAGCGACGCCGCGUGGAGGAAGAAGGUCUUCGGAUUGUAAACUCCUGUUGUUGAGGAAGAUAAUGACGGUACUCAACAAGGAAGUGACGGCUAACUACGUGCCAGCAGCCGCGGUAAAACGUAGGUCACAAGCGUUGUCCGGAAUUACUGGGUGUAAAGGGAGCGCAGGCGGGAAGACAAGUUGGAAGUGAAAUCUAUGGGCUCAACCCAUAAACUGCUUUCAAAACUGUUUUUCUUGAGUAGUGCAGAGGUAGGCGGAAUUCCCGGUGUAGCGGUGGAAUGCGUAGAUAUCGGGAGGAACACCAGUGGCGAAGGCGGCCUACUGGGCACCAACUGACGCUGAGGCUCGAAAGUGUGGGUAGCAAACAGGAUUAGAUACCCCU
RNAcentral lists this ribosomal RNA (417 nucleotides) under uncultured bacterium. RNAcentral describes it as "bacterial SSU rRNA". It matches the Rfam family "Bacterial small subunit ribosomal RNA", at positions 355 to 788 of the family's 1533-position model. The record is from RNAcentral.